Non-coding RNA from Loxodonta africana (African savanna elephant), 2995 nucleotides. Lineage: Eukaryota; Metazoa; Chordata; Mammalia; Proboscidea; Elephantidae. The record is from the annotation of a RefSeq genome assembly.
AUGGAAGGUAAAGAGUGGGAGCUGAGUCUGGUGAGUGAAUGGUGGAAGCUGAGAGCUGGCCAGGUGACCGAGCCAAGCCUGUGGUACCGGCAUAGCCAGCGAGGCCACAGACAAGGCUCCUGGUCCUGGAAGUACAACAGAUCAGAGACAUCCCAGGCCUGGCACCUUCCCAGGGGCCUCCAGAGAGGGGGUGCUGAGGUGGGAGUGGGUGGGUAUGGCCAGCUGUGUGACCCAGGUGUGUGUCCAGAUGUGCCCCUCCGGUGUGUACUCCUGGUGCCUGUGAGCACAGAGGACAAGCCUGGCAGGCAGGAAGCCUGGCUCGGCCUGGGCACAUGGUCAUGUGGGGUCCCCUCUCUUGCAGCCUCAACCACGGCCCCAUCAGUCUUUCCCCUGGCCCCCGGCUGUGGGACCACAUCUGAAUCUAAAGUGGCCCUGGCCUGCCUGGUCGCCAACUACUUCCCAGAGCCAGUGCUGGUGUCCUGGAACUCUGGAGCCCUGUCUGGUGCAUACACCUUCCCGGCCGUCCUGCAGUCGUCUGGCCUGUACUCCCUCAAUAGCAUGGUGACCGUGCCUGCCAGCGACUGGACCAGCCAGACCUACAUCUGCAACGUCGCCCACCCAGCCAGCAACACCAAAGUGGACAAGAAGAUCGUGCCACGCCAAGUGAAAGAAAAAUGCAAGUGCCCAGAUCAUCAGCUCCUGGGAGGACCCUCUGUCUUCAUCUUCCCCCCAAAGCCCAAGGACACCCUCACGAUCUCCGGAACCCCUGCGGUGACGUGCGUGGUGGUAGAUGUUGGCCAGGAAGACCUGAACGUCCAGUUCACCUGGUACGUGGAUGGCGAGCAGGUGAGCACAGCCAAGACCAGCCAGCCGGAGAUGCAAUCCAACAGCACGUACCGUGUGGUCAGUGUACUCCCCAUCUCGCACCAAGACUGGCUCAAGGGCAAAGAGUUCAAGUGCAAGGUCACCAAUACUGCCCUCCCAUCACCUAUUGAGAAGGUCAUCUCCAAGGCCAAAGGCCAGCUCCAUGAGCCACAGGUGUAUCCCCUGCCCCCACACCGAGAUGAGCUGACCAAGGACAAGGUCAGCCUCACAUGCCUGGUGAAGGGAUUCUACCCCUCUGACAUUGAUGUUACGUGGCAGAGGAACCAGCAGCCAGAGCCUGAGAACAGCUAUGCGAACACUGAAGCCCAGCUUGAGGCUGAUGGAACCUUCUUCCUGUACAGCAAGCUCACAGUGCCCAAGAAUAGCUGGCAGCAAGGAAACACCUACUACUGCGUGGUUCUGCACGAGGCACUGCACAACCACUACACCCAGAAGGCCGUCUCCCUGUCUCCCGAGCUGCACCCAGAUGAGAGCUGUGCGGAGGCUCAGGAUGGGGAGCUGGACGGGCUGUGGACCACCAUCUCCAUCUUCAUCACUCUCUUCCUGCUCAGCGUGUGCUACAGUGCCACCGUCACCCUCUUCAAGGUCAAGUGGAUCUUCUCCUCGGCGGUGGAGCUGAAGCGGAACAUCGUCCCCGACUACAGGAAUAUGAUCGGGCAGGCUGCCUAGGGGCUACUGAGAGAGGAACACAUAGAAGCCGAACCCACCACAGGCUUCAGUGGCUCCAAGCUCUACCCUGCCCUCUGACCCCACCGUUCCAGACACCUCACUGCCCUCUGACCAUGCUAUCUCAUAUCCCUCCUGUCAGAGAACCUGGUGGACAGCAGGUUCUCCCACAGACCCAGCAGCCUGGAUGCCCUGCUACCCCAUACCUAAAUAGCAUUUACAACAGCACCAGGAGCACCAUUGGAGUCACCGCACUAGGAGACCCUCAGAAUCAGCUGUGCAUAUCCAUUCUGGAAGAGUGGAUGGGCCAGUAUUCCCCAUGUCCAUUUGGAGCAGGGACCUGAGUUCAAACCCCACCCCAGGCCUGGCUCAGAAAGACACCAAAUCUCAAAGAUCCUUGGUGGGGACAUCAUACACCAAGGCAGGGGAGCCACUGAUCAUCAACCUCAAAAGGGAUACUCCUUGAGAAGUGCUGCAACCUUCACUGAAUGGCCCUUCCUCCAGCCCUCACCUGGCCAGUUCCACCCUGGGAGACCGCAGGGAUUCCCCCACCACUUCUAUGGCCCUGGCCUGAGGAAGAAGCUCCUUUUCAUUUUGAACUGGAGACUUGGUCUCUGGCUAUUGUGAAAGGGCUUUCCAUCCAAUACUGACCUCCUACACAGAGCUCUUAGAUAUGGGGCUCAACCCAAGGGACAGAACCUCUGCCUGCAUGGUGGCCAAGUGAGGGGCUUGGCCCAGGAUACCCACCAUCUCCCAGCCACUAACCUAGUUCCAGCUAAAGGCCCAAACUCGCCACCACGCAGGGAACCACCAGAGAAGGCCUGGGCCAUACCCAUGGACACUGCAGUGUCUGGAGGGUGCAAUGGCAGGGCUCCUGGGGUGAGGAUGGGCAUCUGUGCCAAACAGGAGGGGCAUCAGGUCUGAGGGGCUAGUGGCCAGACAGCCUCCUAGAAAGAGGCCUGGUGACUAGUGCCCCAAGGGGUCAGGGUGUGCCAAGGGAGGCCUCAUCCUUGGGCCUCUGGACAGAGGUGGCCGAAGACAAAGAGAAUGGAAGAGAGGAAAAUGACCAGAUACUGGGAGUGGGCAUCUGGCCAACAAGACUCUGAUGGAAAACCGGGCCAGCCCAGCCACAGGCACUGCACAGAGGUCCCGGGGCCAAGCAUUGCCACCCCUCUGGGCUCUCUGUCUCCCAUCUUCCCUUCCAGCAAAUACUCAGCAGAGUCACACCACAAAGGAGCCAGAGUGCUGAGCCUGCAUCUUAAGGUGGGAAGAAGAAUGACACAAAUGGAAGCAAAUCACACCAAAGAAAUGCCACAUCCAUCAGCUCUGUAGCUUCUUACCUCUUUUUAAUUUUCUGAAUUUCCUUGAUUUUCUUUCAUGUAAAUGUGUUGUUCUUGUUUUUUAAUUACAUUACAAUGGACUUAAACUGCAUGAUUUAUCUUGG